RNAcentral lists this long non-coding RNA (3500 nucleotides) under Homo sapiens (human). Its description in RNAcentral is "HSALNT0160335". The record is from RNAcentral. Lineage: Eukaryota; Metazoa; Chordata; Mammalia; Primates; Hominidae.
UUUAGAGGUGACUCUGGGAUGCAUUCUCAAAUACAGUGCAUGCUUUCUAAAUUUACAGUCUGAUUUAUUGCUGCCAGUUAUGACUGCCAAAUGCUUCUGACAGUGUGGCCAGUUUGUGGUGUCCCUAAAAAUCAUCAGCAAUUUGAAAACAUUAGCACCCGGCAAUAGUCGUACUUCGCAAUGAUUGCCUGUAUUUAUCACCUUACUUUUCCAGGGUACAAACUGAAAAAAAAAAUCAAGGAGGAAAAUUAAACUUCUCUAGCAGCACGGAAAAUACAGCAUUGGAAAUAAAAUGCAUCGUAGGAACUCAGCCCCUCCCUGUAUUCUUUAAAAAUUAAAAUAAACAAUUUAAACUCUGUGGCUUAUGUGGCUACGUAGAAGAAAAAUAUUGCACUGAACUAGUUCCUGGAAAUGCAGGAGUAGACAAGAAAGGCUUGACUUCCAUAGGGGUCUUGCAGUUUACUGAGAUGCACAAUUAUGUUGUUACAAUUGGGAAGAAGAGACGUGCAAGUCCUGGGCGACUACAGACAGCAAGGUAAAGGUACACCUCCCUGAAGAACAAGAGCAAAUCUGAAACCUGAAAGAUGGUUAUGAACAAAGCACUGUGUAACAUGGGGAUUGGGAGAACAUUCCAAGCCGAGAAAGGACAGCGGUGAAGGUUCCACAUGGCGCCACCUUACAGGGAUUUGCAGUGUGUGCAGCACCAAGGUGCUGGCCAGAAGGUGAGUGACAUCCAGGCCCUGCUCUGCUCUCCAGCUUGGACAUCCCGGUGUGUCACUGACAACCCACCAAAGGACACAAAAGUAGCAGAUGAUUGCCAAGACAAGUCCUAUGAAUGCAUUGAUUUGAGUCCAGGAUAAACUGUUUUAACCUAAAAACUCUAAAAUGUAGUGAUUGAAAUAAUCUAGGAGGUUGUUUUCCCUGGCGUAACAUUAUACGUGCAUGUGGUCUAGGGCUGGUAGCAUCGCUCUGCCACUUUCAUUGUGUUGGCCAAUCUCAAUGAGUCCAAAGCUGCUCCAAAGGCGCUAUCCCUUGGCCUUCUGGAAUAGACAUACAACCCGUGACACCACAGGCAUCCCUUACAUAGGGCAAGAAACACAAACAGCAUGCAUCAUUUCUCACUUCCCAUUGGUGAUAACCUAAUCAUCACACGGCCACACCAAGACUCAAGGGAAGCUGAGAAGCAUCUUCUCUGGCUGGCUGCCAUGUGCUAUCAUCAAAGAGGGGAGGAUGAAGGUUGGUGGACAUCCAGGGGACUGUGCUACGAGGAAGGAUGGUGGGGGCAAGGAGUGAGAUAACGAUGGAGAGGCAGGCAGGGGGCAGAUCGUGAAAGGGCUUGUUUAAAGCAAAGGGAAGCCAUGCUAGUGUUUUCAAAAGAGCAGUGACAGAUUUAUGGGUAUCUGCUUGCAGAAAAGGCUAUUACAGAGAAGGCUUGAUUAGGGUAAAUACAAGCUGAGGUUUCCUAGUGAUUCUCUCUUUUAAUUCUCAGAUGUCCUUGUUUACCAACAGCCCAAAUUCUGCAUGCAGAACACACCUAAGUCAUAGAGUCUCCAAAGAAAUUGCCUGGAAGCUCCGAUUUUAAUGGAAAGUUUUUCUGUAGUUGUGGAUGGAAACCUGAGCUAUCCUAUAUUAUGCAGCUCUACACUGUCAGUGACCUUGUGAUGUGGCUCUGAGUUUUCACAAGGUCACCCAGGCCCGACAGAACACACAACCGAAGGCGCAGGGGUUGCGGCACAGCACAUCCGUACUUGUAGACAUCGCGUGGCCCUGCGUCCUGGCAGGGCAGGGCAGAGAACAAAACCACUCUCAAGGCCGGCACAGUCCCACCAGCAGGCCCUUGGAGGAGCGUCAAAUCCUGCCACAGACACAGGACCCAUCUACAUGGCUUCUUGGCCCUGAGGAGAUGGGCUGCUGAAGCCAGCACCUCCAAUUCUGUCUAUAGUGGAAAACAGAGAGGCUGAGGACUGAAUACCUGCUGUCUGAGUUGGUUCAAUGUACAGGAACGGGACUUUAAUUCAGGGAGGUGAGAUGUGAGAAAGAGCAACUUCGAAAGUCACCCAUCUCACACCUGUAGCCUGAACUUGACAAUUCUACUCCUAUAACAACAACAACCGCUGCAGCAACAUUCAGAUACACCCACUGUGAGGCAGGCACACCACAGCCUUCUUGCCCUUACAAACCAUAGGCAGCACCUCAGCACCACAUCUGGGGGCCACUGUGAACAGUGAAAUAACCAACAAAAAGCACAAAAAUCCAAAAAUUAUGGCACUAAAUGGACUGCAAAAUGGACACUUGCUUACAGUAUGAGAAAUGAAACAAGAAGGCAGAGAAUCGCCUUCUUCAGCCUCAGCUGAGAACGUGUGCAUUGGACGACUCAAAUUUUUCACUUCUCUGUGCAUGUCCAAGAAUGACCAUAUUGAGUAGGGGGUUACAAGUAAAUUUGAGCAAGUAGGCAAAUUCCCAAGGAGAAUUUGUGAAUAAUGUGGAUCGACUUUAUAUAUUCUUUUGCCAUGAUGUUGCCUACAACUGGUGGGGAAGAUGGGCAUUAAGAAAUUACAAGUAUAACAAAUAGCACUGGAGGGAGGAGGAGAUGAAGAGACUACAAAUCCAUACAAUGAGGAAACCUCAACUAAUAUAAAGGUUCAAGGGCUGACUCCCCAAGGCCUAAGGGACAAAAAGUUAUCCAGCGUGAAAGGGAUUCUGGUUGGACAAAUCAUCAUGUUGCACAGAUCUGACAGCGAGAGAGAAGGUGAUUUUUUUUUUUUCUAGUUCAGAAUGACUGGAGCACAAAAUAAGAAAGGCAGCAUGGGAGAAAGUGAGACUUAAGAGGUGAGAUCUUGAAGGGUCUCACCUUUAAGAUCCUUCAGGGAGCAUCUUGGUAAAGGGUUUGGAGUUCAUUUUUAAGGGCAUUGGAAAGCCCCUGAAGAGGCUGAAGUGUGGGGGAAGGAUUUUUAUCAAUUUUUUAUCUUAGAAGAUUUCUCAGAAUUACAGGGUGCAGGGUUGGAGUGGGUGCAAAGAAUGGUAUAGGGAACACAGGGGCUAUUUCGCUAGACCACAUGGGAAGUGGUGAUGGUUUGGGGGAGGGUGGUGGUCUAUGCCUGGAGAGAAGAUUGUGGAUUUGGGAAGCUUGCUUGGAGAAGAUAGAGAUGAGUGAUUUGAGAUGAUUCCCACGUCUCUGGCUCAACUUAGUAGGGCUAAUGUUGGAAGAGCUGGGUUUGGUUUGACUUGGUUUGGUUUUCUUGGGGUGGCAUAUGAUAUUAGAAGACCUAAUUUGAAUGAAGUACCCACAGACAUUUAAGUGGAACUAUCUAGGAUGCAGAUGAAUGUAUGGGCUUGGAGCUUAGAAAAAAAAAACAGGCUGGAAGUGGAGAUUUGGAAUUCAUCAGAAUAAAGACUGUAACUAAAGCCAUGCAAAUUAGAGAGUGAGGAGUGAAGUGAGAGUGGAGAGUGAGGUGAGAGCGGGGAGUGAGGUGAGAGCGGGGAGUGAGGUGAGAGCGGGG